This 56-nucleotide transfer RNA is filed under the name Ictidomys tridecemlineatus (thirteen-lined ground squirrel). RNAcentral describes it as "Spermophilus tridecemlineatus (thirteen-lined ground squirrel) tRNA". It matches the Rfam family "tRNA", at positions 9 to 63 of the family's 71-position model. From Rfam's summary of the family: Transfer RNA (tRNA) molecules are approximately 80 nucleotides in length. Their secondary structure includes four short double-helical elements and three loops (D, anti-codon, and T loops). The record is from Rfam by way of RNAcentral. Lineage: Eukaryota; Metazoa; Chordata; Mammalia; Rodentia; Sciuridae.
AGCUUAGUGGUAAACUACAUAUUUGGCAUAUAUGAGAUCCUGGGUUCAAUUCCCAG